GAACUUAAGCCCCAGUAAACGGCGGCCGUAACUAUAACGGUCCUAAGGUAGCGAAAUUCCUUGUCGGGUAAGUUCCGACCCGCACGAAAGGCGUAACGAUUUGGGCACUGUCUCAACAACAGACUCGGUGAAAUUGUAAUUCCGGUGAAGAUGCCGGAUACCUGCGACAGGACGGAAAGACCCCAUGGAGCUUUACUGUAGCUUGACAUUGGGUCUUGGUACUACAUGUACAGGAUAGGUGGGAGGCUUUGAAACCAGGACGCCAGUUUUGGCGGAGCCAUCCUUGGGAUACCACCCUUGUAGUACUGGGACUCUAACCAUAGGCCAUGAAUCUGGUCUUGGGACACUGUCAGGUGGGCAGUUUGACUGGGGCGGUCGCCUCCCAAAAGGUAACGGAGGCGCUCAAAGGUUCUCUCAGUACGGUCGGAAAUCGUACGUAGAGUGUAAAGGCAAAAGAGAGCUUGAUUGCAAGACAUACAGGUCGAGCAAGGAUGAAAAUCGGACUUAGUGAUCCGGUGGUUCUGCGUGGAAGGGCCAUCGCUCAACGGAUAAAAGCUACCCUGGGGAUAACAGGCUUAUCUCCCCCAAGAGUCCACAUCGACGGGGAGGUUUGGCACCUCGAUGUCGGCUCAUCACAUCCUGGGGCUGUAGUAGGUCCCAAGGGUUGGGCUGUUCGCCCAUUAAAGUGGUACGCGAGCUGGGUUCAGAACGUCGUGAGACAGUUCGGUCCCUAUCCGUCGCAGGCGUAGGAAAUUUGAGAAGACCUGUCCUUAGUACGAGAGGACCGGGAUGGACG
Molecule: ribosomal RNA, 796 nt
Filed under: Clostridioides difficile
Lineage: Bacteria; Bacillati; Bacillota; Clostridia; Peptostreptococcales; Peptostreptococcaceae
Description: partial 23S ribosomal RNA
Rfam family: Bacterial large subunit ribosomal RNA
Source: RNAcentral